RNAcentral lists this ribosomal RNA (602 nucleotides) under Enterobacter hormaechei. RNAcentral's name for it is "bacterial SSU rRNA". It matches the Rfam family "Bacterial small subunit ribosomal RNA", at positions 542 to 1148 of the family's 1533-position model. The record is from RNAcentral. Lineage: Bacteria; Pseudomonadati; Pseudomonadota; Gammaproteobacteria; Enterobacterales; Enterobacteriaceae.
CGUAUCGACUACUGGGCGUAAGCGCACGCAGCGGUCUGUCAAGUCGGAUGUGAAAUCCCCGGGCUCAACCUUGGGAACUGCAUUCGAAACUGCAAGCUAGAGUCUGUAGAGGGGGGGUAGAAUUCCAGGUGUAGCGGUGAAAUGCGUAGAGAUCUGGAGGAAUACCGGUGGCGAAGGCGGCCCCCUGGACAAAGACUGACGCUCAGGUGCGAAAGCGUGGGGAGCAAACAGGAUUAGAUACCCUGGUAGUCACGCCGUAAACGAUGUCGACUUGGAGGUUGUGCCCCUGAGGCGUGGCUUCCGGAGCUAACGCGUUAAGUCGACCGCCUGGGGAGUAUGGCCGCAAGGUUAAAACUCAAAUGAAUAGACGGGGGCCCGCACAAGCGGUGGAGCAUGUGGUUUAAUUCGAUGCAACGCGAAGAACCUUACCUACUCUUGACAUCCAGAGAACUUAGCAGAGAUGCUUUGGUGCCUUCGGGAACUCUGAGACAGGUGCUGCAUGGCUGUCGUCAGCUCGUGUUGUGAAAUGUUGGGUUAAGUCCCGCAACGAGCGCAACCCUUAUCCUUUGUUGCCAGCGGUUCGGCCGGGAACUCAAAGGAGA